UAAUGCAAGUGGUGCCGGCUGACCCCUUGCAACCCAGAUAGUAGCCCGGAAAUGCACUUCCUGAUCUGUAUUUUAAGGUCUUUUAUAAACAUAACGGAAGCAUAAUAUUGAGUGAGGAACACGUCUAAAAUUAAGGCUUUCCUAUUUAUAGGGCUCUUUAUAACUUUUCCAUCCUAAAACUAAAGCUAUUCAAGGAGGGGAGAGAGGCUCAAGAAGCAAGUGAUAUACAAAUAUAAACUACAUAUGUAAGUAAUUAUGGCUAAUUUGGAUUGUCGUAUGGCAGAAACCAACAGAAAAUGGAAAAACAAUUUUUCCCGAUGAAAAAAUUUUUGAAAGAAAUGAUACUAAAGCUAUUUGAAUGCCUUUUUGUAUGCAAAGACCUAGUUCCACAUUACUCUUUUCAGUUUUUCAGCAGAAUUCGAAAAUUGGCGUGACAAGAGGUUUAGACAUCUUUUAAAAAUUGCGUUCUAGAAACAUCUAUUUAUGUAUGUGUGUACUGCUCACUAGCCUUCAUUUAAUUGCCAUACUUUGAAAAAAAUUUGUUCUGGAAGGAAUUGUUUUAUUUUUUGCUUUGAGACCAAUAUUUUAUGUUUUGUGUUUUUAUUCAUUACGGAAUCUGAGCUGUGUGUCCUCCGGUUGAUACUCGAAGACUCAAAGGGAUCAUUCAGCAGCUGUGGAACUUUUUCUAUUCUGCCAGAAUGUUCAUGGGCUCCUCUGCCUGCAGUUGCAGCAUGAAGACCGCCUGAAGGCAGAGAGCGGCGGAGUCAUCAGGAAGGGGAACCCUCUCCAGGGCCCUAGAGUGGGCUCACACGUGCUGACAAAGCAAGAGACUUGGCUGGAGGGGCGCCCGGGAGGACAGC
Long non-coding RNA from Capra hircus (goat), 860 nucleotides. RefSeq lists it as uncharacterized. The transcript has 3 exons. NCBI's taxonomy places the organism in Eukaryota, Metazoa, Chordata, Mammalia, Artiodactyla, Bovidae. The record is from RefSeq and is a predicted model, not a curated record.